This 310-nucleotide ribosomal RNA is filed under the name uncultured bacterium. RNAcentral describes it as "bacterial SSU rRNA". It matches the Rfam family "Bacterial small subunit ribosomal RNA", at positions 30 to 334 of the family's 1533-position model. The record is from RNAcentral.
AUUGAACGCUGGCGGCAGGCUUAACACAUGCAAGUCGAGCGGUAACAGAGAGAAGCUUGCUUCUCUGCUGACGAGCGGCGGACGGGUGAGUAAUGCUUGGGUAUCUGCCUUGUGGUGGGGGACAACAGUUGGAAACGACUGCUAAUACCGCAUAAUCUCUACGGAGCAAAGUGGGGGACCUUCGGGCCUCACGCCACAAGAUGAACCCAAGUGGGAUUAGCUAGUUGGUAAGGUAACGGCUUACCAAGGCGGCGAUCCCUAGCUGGUCUGAGAGGAUGACCAGCCACACUGGAACUGAGACACGGUCCAG